RNAcentral lists this long non-coding RNA (351 nucleotides) under Bemisia tabaci. RNAcentral describes it as "lncRNA ENSSSA1UGG002960". The record is from RNAcentral. Lineage: Eukaryota; Metazoa; Arthropoda; Insecta; Hemiptera; Aleyrodidae.
GGAUUUCAACGAUUCCUCCUCAUGGUCGCGUUCAGUUUCGGUCCUCGUGCGUGCUUUCAAACGACUUUUUGUGUUUUCGCGUCGUGUGAAACCGUGAUUCAGUGAUCGAGUUUAGUGCGUUUCGUGUGCCCUGUUUUUCAUCUACCUACUGGGACGGGUCUUGCAAAUGAUGGCUAUGAUUAUUCUGGAAUAUUCUGCCCGAGCUAUUUUCUUCAGAUUGGUCAGGCUCUCCGGUCAGUUUAUUGUUGGUUUCAGUGACAGUGUUGUGAGUGCUUUCAGCCUGGCGUCGGGCAAUCGGAUAACCUACCGCUGAAUCGCCUGCUGCAAGUUGCUGAUCUACGGCUGACCGGU